RNAcentral lists this microRNA precursor (125 nucleotides) under Cervus elaphus hippelaphus. The stretch from base 13 to 88 matches the Rfam family "mir-9/mir-79 microRNA precursor family". From Rfam's summary of the family: The mature ~21nt miRNAs are processed from hairpin precursor sequences represented here. miR-9 is processed from the 5' arm of its precursor, and miR-79 from the 3' arm. The bounds of the precursors are predicted based on conservation and base pairing and are not generally known. The record is from RNAcentral. Lineage: Eukaryota; Metazoa; Chordata; Mammalia; Artiodactyla; Cervidae.
UGUGAGGGAAGCGAGUUGUUAUCUUUGGUUAUCUAGCUGUAUGAGUGUAUUGGUCUUCAUAAAGCUAGAUAACCGAAAGUAAAAACUCCUUCAAGGUCGCCGGGGAGCGUGUGAGAGUGAACGAC